Molecule: long non-coding RNA, 3271 nt
Organism: Mytilus californianus (California mussel)
Lineage: Eukaryota; Metazoa; Mollusca; Bivalvia; Mytilida; Mytilidae
Exons: 5
Source: RefSeq, a predicted model, not a curated record
AAAACUGUUAUCCGUAGGUAUAACUUAAAUAAGAAGUUGAUUUCUGUGAGUGUGUGCAAGUCAGAAUGUGGACACCGAACGAUAUUGAGUUGUUACCUAACGAAGAAAGAAGCGAUGACGAAAGACGGUUACAUGUAGAGGGCAAUAUGUGGUCCAAUGGUAUAAAUGUCCUUCACGCAGAGAGCAUACAAGUUGCUAAUUCUAAUGUUGACCAAAGUGAGCAAGUACAAAGACAAACUACUUUAUGUGGAGUUGGCUGGGAUAUAAAGCACACAAUUCUUGUCAUUUUAGUUAUAUCAUCCAUUCUUAUUAUGAUAACUACUUUUUCUGUUGUUUUAUCUAAAUGUUCACAGACUGUGUAUGUUUACCCAAAGGCUGACACAGAUAGAACGAAGAGCAAUAAUUCAUUUUAUUGGUCAUUGCAUUUACCUACAACGUCAACUACUGGGUCACUGAUUCUUAAAACAUUUCUGCCUCAUUCUGGAAAUUUCACAUUUGAUUUUCAUCCAGAACAAGAAAUAUCCGUCGACAAGAUUUGCGAUGACAGCAACUCAAAUAAUGAUUUGAUGGCGUACCGAUUAAUUUGCAACUCAACUCUUCAUGAUAUUCAAUGUGAAUCUCGCAGUUUAUGUGAGGGAUAUUGUAACACUCACAACAUUAGUACAUCAAUGCCGUCGCUUGUUAAAUACAACAUUCACAGUGUCUGUGUUGAAGCUGGAGGCUUGAUUGUACUUUCAGAGCAUUGAUUUUGUUUUAUUUGCUCUUUUUUAUUUGUUGCUUAUUUUUAUUUUUUGUAAAGGUGUUUUUUUUCUUUAUUUGAUAUACAACUAGAAUUGUAGUAAAAAUCAUCAAAGAAAUUUCAAUUCUAUUCAGUUUUCAAAUUUUUCUUAUUUAAAUUAAUUUUCAAAUAAAAAAAAACAUGAUUUCACAAAAAAGAGAAGAUGAAAUUUAGCGAUCUGAGCUAAGUUGCUAUGUUGUAAUUAAUUUCUUUCAAAACUGAAGUAAAAUGAAUAGGAAAUUAUAGUUUAGUUAACAAUAAUGGACAUUAUAUAUAUCUUACAACUGUAGAGUUAAUGCGAACUAAAAAUAUGGAAAAGGACGAUUGAAAACUAUUAGAAGUGGAGCAUGAUGAAUUAUACUAUUAUGGCAGGGAUAUACAUUAUAAUCGUCUACAAUGAAUUUUAAUUUACAGAUUUAUACUUUUGAUGUUUGGUUGUGAAUAAUGGAUAUAUUUAUCAAUUUUUUCUAAGAUUAUGGAUCGAUAAAAACUAUACUAACAGUGCAAUAAAACAUGUACAAUUUAAUAAAAAUCAUUUGCAAGUUCAGACAAGGAUUCUCCGCUCUGUUAAUCAAACUGCUUUGUAGCAGCAAAAAUCUCGAACUCUCGUCAACGUUCAUGAUUUUAUGACCGUUGUACCUUGACACUUGCACACGGAUUUACCAGCACCACAGUUCUGCUAUAGAAAAGAAACAAGGUUGCACUUUAUUGUUUUAUUGACGUAUUCCCAAUAUUUCCUUUUAUUCAUACAUGAGAGUUUUGCAAUCCUAUAGCAGGAUAUUACCAUGGAUUGGGAACGUUGAUCGGUUUUACAUUGAUCGUAGAAAUAUAACUUCCUAGUUAGAAUGACGAUAUAAGCAAGUAUAUAAUUAGAUAUAUUGGACGAGGGAAUACCUUAUUUGUUAUAUUAGAAAUUCCGGAAUACCUGUAUCUAAAUAUAGUCGGAAAUUUGUAUACAAGGUAUAUAUAAAAUGUUAAAGAUCAACAUAACAGAAAUGAAAUCACAAAUACACUUAUAUUCCUUAAAACCCCAUGAUACUAUAGUACGGGAAAAAAGGAUAAGAAAUCAUCAAGACAAGCUUAUUCAAAGGACACUAGUGAAAAGUUUAUCAAUGACGGGAAUACUACGAGAAAAAGAUAUGAAAAGUUGGUUGAUAUUAGAGAAAUAUUAAAUGACACAAACCAAUUGAAAGAAAAACAACCAUGCUGUUUUUGGACAUGUGGUUGUUUAUCUGUUAUAAUUAUAGUGUCUUUGAUCAUAACCAUUCCAUAUCUAGUAAAAUGUGAUGCUAAGGAAACGUAUUGCAAUGCUACCAUCUCAAACAAUACUCACCAUAUUUCCAAUUGUGCAGAAUACUCAAAGGUGCACGAAUACAAUACAUUACACCCAGAACCAUUUUGCCAGUUUCCGUUUCCACGAAGUCAAGUGAGCUUCAUGAAGUGUUUUCUUCCCUUAAAAGGAGAAUAUACUUUAGAUUGUGUUUUUCACAAAGUUAAGGAAGUGAAACGCAUUUGCUCCUUAAAUGAUACUGAUUACCACUUUAAGCUGGACUGUGCCGGAACUGAUGAAAAUUGUUCCCCUGCCUGCUUUGAGAACUGUACACAUUAUUCCAUUACAAUACCUACACCUAGCAUCCUAUUACUUGAAAUAAGUGAUACUUGUUUAGAAGAAGAUGGUCACAUCGCAAUUUGGAAUGCCACGAUUCAUAAAAUGGGUUAGCGUUUUACUUAACCAUUUUGAAAAUUGGUCAUAAUGAUAGUUUUGGGUAAAAAAUAUUUGCAUUUAAAAUUAUCAUUUCUACAAGAACCUGUUAUUUUUCUAUCAUCAUCUGGAAUGUCACUACUACUUAUACGUACUUCGUGUGUAACGUUCAUAACUUGUCUUUUAACCAAUAAUGUGCAUACAGACUUCGGAUAAACAAGUCGUUUAAGUCUCAAGUACUGUGGAUUCAUUUUUAUUUUUAGAAUACCAAUUUUCCUGAAUUACGAGGGUACAGGUAAACAACAAAUAUAUAUGUUCAAGGAAGUACAAAUUGUCUAUACAUUGUAGGUUUAUAUGCAGACUUUCACCAAAAAACGAAAUCAAAUGUCCACGAAAGUUUCCUCAAUUCACGAAAAUUGGUAUCCUUGCUUUUUAUUAUUUAUUUUUGUUUGAAUGUUUGUUUGAUUCGUAUAGCUUUCUGUUGUUUUUAUCUCAAUGUUCUAACGUAUUCUAUAUUUUAAAAUCUAUUUUAUUCUGCAUACAUGUUUUCAAAAAUAUGACUUAAGUUGUGCUUUUAAAUUUAUUUGACAUUUUUAUCAACAUACCAUGCAUUUCAUGUAUAUGUUUCAACAAUUGUGUUGUUUUCAUGACUUGUGUAUGUGUUUAUGUAUUUUAUUAUUUAGUCGAUUUGAAUAGCUCACGGGAGCUUAUGUUUUUUGUUUACUGAAUAUCGACUGUAAAUAAAACUUUGAAUUGAAUGGGUACCCAUGACAAUAAAUGAAUCCACAGUA